AGCAGCCGCGGUAAUUCCAGCUCCAAUAGCGUAUAUUAAAGUUGUUGCAGUUAAAAAGCUCGUAGUUGAAUUUCGGGAUUGGCGCAUCGGUCGUGCCUCACGGGGUAUGAACUGGUGCAGUCAAUUUCUCACCUUCUGGAGAACCGCGAUGUCCUUAAUUGGGUGCCGCGGGGAACCAGGACCUUUACUUUGAAAAAAUUAGAGUGUUUAAAGCAGGCAUUUUUGCUUGAAUACAUUAGCAUGGAAUAAUAAAAUAGGACGGCAUGGUUCUAUUUUGUUGGCUUCUAGGACCACCGUAAUGAUUAAUAGGGAUAGUUGGGGGCAUUAGUAUUCAAUUGUCAGAGGUGAAAUUCUUGGAUUUAUUGAAGACUAACUACUGCGAAAGCAUUUGCCAAGGAUGUUUUCAUUAAUCAAGAACGAAAGUUAGGGGAUCGAAGACGAUCAGAUACC
RNAcentral lists this ribosomal RNA (450 nucleotides) under uncultured Glomeromycotina. RNAcentral describes it as "SSU rRNA". It matches the Rfam family "Eukaryotic small subunit ribosomal RNA", at positions 569 to 1016 of the family's 1831-position model. The record is from RNAcentral. Lineage: Eukaryota; Fungi; Glomeromycota.